RNAcentral lists this non-coding RNA (157 nucleotides) under Candidatus Omnitrophota bacterium. RNAcentral's name for it is "Candidatus Omnitrophica bacterium 6S RNA". It matches the Rfam family "6S / SsrS RNA". Rfam says of the family: E. coli 6S RNA was the first non coding RNA to be sequenced, but its function was unknown until recently. It consists of 184 nucleotides that fold into an extended hairpin structure with a large single-stranded internal bulge. The record is from RNAcentral. Lineage: Bacteria; Pseudomonadati; Candidatus Omnitrophota.
GAUUCCCUGCCAUGCGCGUGCUGAUUUGGUAACUUUUGAGCCAACACCAUCUUAUAGGGAACCUGAAUCUAGAUGCGGCUUAACGUAUCUGUGAGGGUACCCACCUAUAAAAAUGGGUUCAAAAUUAUCAAACUCGCACGGCGUGCGCGGGGAUUUU